GAUGAACGCUGGCGGCGUGCCUAAUACAUGCAAGUCGAGCGAACGGACGAGAAGCUUGCUUCUCUGAUGUUAGCGGCGGACGGGUGAGUAACACGUGGAUAACCUACCUAUAAGACUGGGAUAACUUCGGGAAACCGGAGCUAAUACCGGAUAAUAUUUUGAACCGCAUGGUUCAAAAGUGAAAGACGGUCUUGCUGUCACUUAUAGAUGGAUCCGCGCUGCAUUAGCUAGUUGGUAAGGUAACGGCUUACCAAGGCAACGAUGCAUAGCCGACCUGAGAGGGUGAUCGGCCACACUGGAACUGAGACACGGUCCAGACUCCUACGGGAGGCAGCAGUAGGGAAUCUUCCGCAAUGGGCGAAAGCCUGACGGAGCAACGCCGCGUGAGUGAUGAAGGUCUUCGGAUCGUAAAACUCUGUUAUUAGGGAAGAACAUAUGUGUAAGUAACUGUGCACAUCUUGACGGUACCUAAUCAGAGAGCCACGGCUAACUACGUGCCAGCAGCCGCGGUAAUACGUAAGUGGCAAGCGUUAUCCGGAAUUAUUGGGCGUAAAGCGCGCGUAGGCGGUUUUUUAAGUCUGAUGUGAAAGCCCACGGCUCAACCGUGGAGGGUCAUUGGAAACUGGAAAACUUGAGUGCAGAAGAGGAAAGUGGAAUUCCAUGUGUAGCGGUGAAAUGCGCAGAGAUAUGGAGGAACACCAGUGGCGAAGGCGACUCUCUGGUCUGUAACUGACGCUGAUGUGCGAAAGCGUGGGGAUCAAACAGGAUUAGAUACCCUGGUAGUCCACGCCGUAAACGAUGAGUGCUAAGUGUUAGGGGGUUUCCGCCCCUUAGUGCUGCAGCUAACGCAUUAAGCACUCCGCCUGGGGAGUACGACCGCAAGGUUGAAACUCAAAGGAAUUGACGGGGACCCGCACAAGCGGUGGAGCAUGUGGUUUAAUUCGAAGCAACGCGAAGAACCUUACCAAAUCUUGACAUCCUUUGACAACUCUAGAGAUAGAGCCUUCCCCUUCGGGGGACAAAGUGACAGGUGGUGCAUGGUUGUCGUCAGCUCGUGUCGUGAGAUGUUGGGUUAAGUCCCGCAACGAGCGCAACCCUUAAGCUUAGUUGCCAUCAUUAAGUUGGGCACUCUAAGUUGACUGCCGGUGACAAACCGGAGGAAGGUGGGGAUGACGUCAAAUCAUCAUGCCCCUUAUGAUUUGGGCUACACACGUGCUACAAUGGACAAUACAAAGGGCAGCGAAACCGCGAGGUCAAGCAAAUCCCAUAAAGUUGUUCUCAGUUCGGAUUGUAGUCUGCAACUCGACUACAUGAAGCUGGAAUCGCUAGUAAUCGUAGAUCAGCAUGCUACGGUGAAUACGUUCCCGGGUCU
This 1372-nucleotide ribosomal RNA is filed under the name uncultured bacterium. RNAcentral describes it as "bacterial SSU rRNA". It matches the Rfam family "Bacterial small subunit ribosomal RNA", at positions 28 to 1381 of the family's 1533-position model. The record is from RNAcentral.